Molecule: long non-coding RNA, 722 nt
Filed under: Anas platyrhynchos platyrhynchos (common mallard)
Lineage: Eukaryota; Metazoa; Chordata; Aves; Anseriformes; Anatidae
Description: lncRNA (ENSAPLG00000025554.1)
Source: RNAcentral
AUGCAGCUCUGCUGUUGGCUCACCAGAAGGGAUUAUUGGCCACAGCUGCUGGAGCAGUUUGGUGGCAGUGCUGCGCUGCUUACCUGCUCUGCAUCUCCAUCCUCCAUCCUCCAGGAUCCGGUCCUCCAGUUGGUGGGGAUGAACUCUUCAUCGUAUAAGCUUUUGCUUGUAAAGGAUCAGACCUCAAGAGGAGUCUGGAUGACCUUACAAAUCCGUUAGGAUACUGUCUUAGUGAAAAGAUGAGUCUUACACCGUGCUCUGAAAGUUGAAGAAGGGGGGUUUAUUAUGCUGCUGCCACUAUCGAGUGCCAAAAAUAGCAGUGGACACCUGAACUGGUGAAAAUAGCUGUGUCUAACUUUUUCCACAGAUAACGUAGGGCCCUGUCUUUGAAAAGCUGCUGUGUAAUUCCACUGUGUACAUUUCCGAUGUGUCUGUGGUCAACUUGCCAAGUUUUGCCAUGUGUAAGAUUGCAUGUAAUAUAUCUGCCAAGCAUGCUGCUGGGUAUGCUGACUUCAGGGAUUUAUGGGGUUUGUCAAUAUUAGGAAGCGUAGGAAAUGAUAAAAAGUAUAAAAUACAGUUAUGGUUUCCAUGCGAUGAUCACAUUGUAAAUUUUCCUUUAACACUUCUGGGCAAACAAAUCAUAAUGUCUAGGGCAAUUUAAAAAGCUUUAGGGAUUAUUACUCUUAGAUUUUAAAUAAAUUCUAAUUUUAAAUAAAUUCUCA